Molecule: ribosomal RNA, 392 nt
Filed under: uncultured bacterium
Lineage: Bacteria
Description: partial 16S ribosomal RNA
Rfam family: Bacterial small subunit ribosomal RNA
Source: RNAcentral
AUACGGAGGAUCCGAGCGUUAUCCGGAUUUAUUGGGUUUAAAGGGUGCGCAGGCGGCCAUUUAAGUCAGCGGUUAAAUCGUGGGGCUCAACCCCAUUCUGCCGUUGAUACUGGGUGGCUUGAUUGCGGUCGAGGUUGGCGGAAUUCGUUGUGUAGCGGUGAAAUGCAUAGAUAUGACGAAGAACACCGAUUGCGUAGGCAGCUGACCAGACCGCAAAUGACGCUCAUGCACGAAAGUGCGGGGAUCGAACAGGAUUAGAUACCCUGGUAGUCUGCACAGUAAACGAUGAAUACUUGUUUUCGGCGAUAUAAUGUCGGAGGCAAAGCGAAAGCGAUAAGUAUUCCACCUGGGGAGUACGCCGGCAACGGUGAAACUCAAAUGAAUUGACGGGG